Long non-coding RNA from Cryptomeria japonica (Japanese cedar), 690 nucleotides. RefSeq lists it as uncharacterized. The transcript has 2 exons. The record is from RefSeq and is a predicted model, not a curated record. NCBI's taxonomy places the organism in Eukaryota, Viridiplantae, Streptophyta, Pinopsida, Cupressales, Cupressaceae.
AAAGUCAGAUUAAGGACUUCAAUUCUUAGCAUUGGCAAAUUAUAAGAACUACCAUCAAAUGUUGUCAUCAUCACACUAUAGGUAAAUUUUGUGUAAUUGAUGAUUUUAACUCAAUAUAGGUGCUCUUGUUGGGAAUCAAUAUAAAUUGCCAAAGGAGUGAAAUCAAGCUCUUAUAGGUUCUCUUAUUGUUGAUAAUGAGGUGAAUAUCAAGCUCAUUCAAAAGAAAUGUCACAACUUCCUUUUGUGUGUCUCCCUCAUUCUCCAUGAACUGCACCUUGAAGUCCUUCAUGCAAAUGGUGCUAAUAUUGGGAAGCAUUAUAUCUUCACGCUCAAUACAAAGAUCUAUGAAGGCUCAUGUGAAUAUGUCAGGUCCAUUGGUACAAAAUUGAUGGAAGUUGCAGAUCGUCAAACAAACUACGUUUCUAAUUUUUGAAGUACUAUUGAAGAGUUGAUGUAUUUAUACCUUUGGUGAUUGAUUGAUAGGCAAUUUUUUUGUACAAAUGACACUUGAGAACAAUUAGUUGGUGGUUAUAUGGGACUUUAGACACAAAUGAUCAUUGCCCUCCUAUUGCAAUAACUUUUAGAAAACCUAUUAUAGUUCAUUCUUCACUAUUUAAAAAACUGUGAGCAAAUUUUUUUUUCAUCUAUAACUUGCGAUUAUUAUGUACUCGUAAAAAUUCUUUUCUAAUA